This 319-nucleotide ribosomal RNA is filed under the name uncultured eukaryote. RNAcentral describes it as "partial 18S ribosomal RNA". It matches the Rfam family "Eukaryotic small subunit ribosomal RNA", at positions 1470 to 1796 of the family's 1831-position model. The record is from RNAcentral.
CCCUUAGAUGUUCUGGGCAGCACGCGCGCUACAAUGGUCUUCGCAAACGGAUGCAUUCUCGAAGGAGAAUGCCAAUCUUGGAAUCUAUGCCUUGGUCGGGACAGUUGCUUGCAAUUUUUCGACUCGAACCAGGCAUUCCUUGUAAUCGUGAUUCAUCACAUCACGAUGAAUACGUCCCUGCCCUUUGUACACACCGCCCGUCGCUCCUACCGAUCGAAGAGUUAGGUGAAUUGUUUUGAUCGAUAAGAUUUGACUAUGGUCAACUCUCGUUGUGAAAUUCUGUGAAUCUGACUGUUUAGAGGAAGGAAAAGUCGUAACA